GCACAAGCGGUGGAGCAUGUGGUUUAAUUCGACGCAACGCGCAGAACCUUACCAGCCCUUGACAUCCCGGUCGCGGACUCCAGAGACGGAGUUCUUCAGUUCGGCUGGACCGGAGACAGGUGCUGCAUGGCUGUCGUCAGCUCGUGUCGUGAGAUGUUGGGUUAAGUCCCGCAACGAGCGCAACCCCCGUCCUUAGUUGCUACCAUUUAGUUGAGCACUCUAAGGAGACUGCCGGUGAUAAGCCGCGAGGAAGGUGGGGAUGACGUCAAGUCCUCAUGGCCCUUACGGGCUGGGCUACACGCGUGCUACAAUGGCGGUGACAAUGGGACGCUAAGGGGCAACCCUUCGCAAAUCUCAAAAAGCCGUCUCAGUUCGGAUUGGGCUCUGCAACUCGAGCCCAUGAAGUUGGAAUCGCUAGUAAUCGUGGAUCAGCACGUCACGGUGAAUACGUUCCCGGGC
RNAcentral lists this ribosomal RNA (459 nucleotides) under uncultured bacterium. RNAcentral describes it as "bacterial SSU rRNA". It matches the Rfam family "Bacterial small subunit ribosomal RNA", at positions 923 to 1379 of the family's 1533-position model. The record is from RNAcentral.